GAUGAACGCUGGCGGCGUGCCUAAUACAUGCAAGUCGAGCGAACAGACGAGGAGCUUGCUCCUCUGACGUUAGCGGCGGACGGGUGAGUAACACGUGGAUAACCUACCUAUAAGACUGGGAUAACUUCGGGAAACCGGAGCUAAUACCGGAUAAUAUAUUGAACCGCAUGGUUCAAUAGUGAAAGACGGUUUUGCUGUCACUUAUAGAUGGAUCCGCGCCGCAUUAGCUAGUUGGUAAGGUAACGGCUUACCAAGGCGACGAUGCGUAGCCGACCUGAGAGGGUGAUCGGCCACACUGGAACUGAGACACGGUCCAGACUCCUACGGGAGGCAGCAGUAGGGAAUCUUCCGCAAUGGGCGAAAGCCUGACGGAGCAACGCCACGUGAGUGAUGAAGGUCUUCGGAUCGUAAAACUCUGUUAUUAGGGAGGAACAAAUGUGUAAGUAACUAUGCACGUCUUGACGGUACCUAAUCAGAAAGCCACGGCUAACUACGUG
Molecule: ribosomal RNA, 497 nt
Filed under: uncultured bacterium
Lineage: Bacteria
Description: partial 16S ribosomal RNA
Rfam family: Bacterial small subunit ribosomal RNA
Source: RNAcentral